Molecule: ribosomal RNA, 498 nt
Filed under: uncultured bacterium
Lineage: Bacteria
Description: partial 16S ribosomal RNA
Rfam family: Bacterial small subunit ribosomal RNA
Source: RNAcentral
ACUCAAAUGAAUAGACGGGGGCCCGCACAAGCAGUGGAGCAUGUGGUUUAAUUCGAUGCAACGCGAAGAACCUUACCCAGGUUUGACAUGCAGUGGACAGCUACAGAGAUGUAGAUUCCCGCAAGGGCCGCUGCACAGGUGCUGCAUGGCUGUCGUCAGCUCGUGCCGUGAGGUGUUGGGUUAAGUCCCGCAACGAGCGCAACCCUUAUCAUUAGUUGCCAACACGUUAGGGUGGGGACUCUAGUGAGACUGCCUGGGUUAACCAGGAGGAAGGUGAGGAUGACGUCAAGUCAGCAUGGCCCUUAUAUCUGGGGCUACACACGUGCUACAAUGGUCGGUACAGAAGGCAGCGAAGUCGUGAGAUGGAGCAAAUCCCAAAAGCCGACCCCAGUUCAGAUUGUAGUCUGCAACUCGACUACAUGAAGUUGGAAUUGCUAGUAAUGGCGAGUCAGCUACAUCGCCGUGAAUACGUUCCCGGGCCUUGUACACACCGCCCGU